AUGAUGUUUCUGUGCUCUCUGCUUCUGCUGUCAGUUAUACAAGAUGAAUGCCUUGCACAGAAAAUAACAACACUGCAAGGCACAACACAUGCUACUGAGGGGAAGACAGUCAUUCUCUCAUGCAAAUAUGAAGGGAGCGUAGAUAAUUUGCUGUGGUAUCGGCAAUAUCCUGGAUCCAGACCUGAAUUUCUGCUUCUUGUCAUUGAGACAUUAACAAGGAGUGUAAUAUAUGCAUCUCCUCCUAUCCCAAGACUGGAAGGCAAUCUGAAUAUGGGAGAUAAGCAGGUGGAUCUGGAGAUCUCCUCUGCUGCAGUCACAGACUCUGCUCUGUAUUACUGUGCCCUGAGGCCCACAGUGACAGGAAACCCAACGACACUGUACAAAAACCUCUAUGAAGCUCUAAAUAUACAGUAA
This is a non-coding RNA of Myxocyprinus asiaticus (Chinese sucker), 414 nucleotides long. Lineage: Eukaryota; Metazoa; Chordata; Actinopteri; Cypriniformes; Catostomidae. The record is from the annotation of a RefSeq genome assembly.